AGCUUAAAGAUUAUAUUUUAAGUAAAUUCUGCCCAGCGUUAUUUAUUAGCGGCCGCAGUACCUUGACUGUGCUAAGGUAGCAUAAUCAAUUGGCUUUUAAUUGAAGUCUGGAAUGAAAGGUUAAAUAAAGAAUUUACUGUCUCUUUUUGAUUUUUUUGAAUUUAUUUAUAAAGUGAAAAUACUUUUUUAAAGAAAAAAGACGAGAAGACCCUUAGAAUUUUUACUUAGUUUUUUUAUUAAAAAUAUUUUUUUGUUGGGGCGACACUGAAACAUAUUUAACUUUCAAGAUUUACAUGACAAAUUUUUUUAAAAGAUCAAAUUACCUAAGGGAUAACAGCAUAAUGAAUUAUUUAGUUUAUGACCUCGAUGUUGGACUAGGAACUAAAAGACUACAGUCAAAAUAGAAUGUUCUGUUCGACCAAUUUUCUCCU
RNAcentral lists this ribosomal RNA (431 nucleotides) under Ampullaceana balthica. RNAcentral describes it as "partial 16S ribosomal RNA". Lineage: Eukaryota; Metazoa; Mollusca; Gastropoda; Lymnaeidae. The record is from RNAcentral.